AAUCCAUGGUGUCCACCUUUUCACCUAUAAGACCAAGGAAACCAGUUUUGUUGGUAGGUCUAAUGCCCUCUGGUUUGCUUGUGGAUUUAGAUUCUGCGAACACGACUUCUGCACGAGCAAGUUUCUUCUUGUAGCCUUCCAACUCCACCCAAAUUUUGUUGGCCUCUUUGUUGUCGGUGACCACCAUCGACUUGUAAUAUGUUUCGGGAUAAAGAAACCUGAAAUAAGAGUCCACCUUCUCAUUCAGGGACUGAUCUUGAGAUGCUGAAGGGAUAUCUCUAACUAACAUCGUGAAAUGUUCGGGUUUUGCUUCUGCGCCUCCUUUGCCUGAAGCUCGCAGUUCUAAAACAUGCUUGUAGGAUUUCCAU
This 368-nucleotide unclassified non-coding RNA is filed under the name Hevea brasiliensis (rubber tree). The record is from RNAcentral. Lineage: Eukaryota; Viridiplantae; Streptophyta; Magnoliopsida; Malpighiales; Euphorbiaceae.